Molecule: long non-coding RNA, 850 nt
Organism: Talpa occidentalis (Iberian mole)
Lineage: Eukaryota; Metazoa; Chordata; Mammalia; Eulipotyphla; Talpidae
Exons: 3
Source: RefSeq, a predicted model, not a curated record
GGGCCCGGCCGGGGACCGGAGCACCCCACUUUCGCAGGCGCCAGACCCCUCGACGCUGCGCAGAGGGAGACCCUGUCCUGGGAGCGCAGCAGUUUCAACACUAAUUAUAUGUUAAAAGGCCAGAGUCUCCUUUCUCUAGCCGCAGCCCAGUGACCGAGGGGGAGAAAAGUGCAGCGAGAUAAAAGGAACAUGGGACUAAUUUUCCUCACACCUCAGUUUCAAGAUUCAACAUUUCCCUCAUAAAUAAUUUACAACAAUAAAAAUGAGCUAGGGCCACGUUCGUGUAGGACGGAGGAUAGCGGAUGUGGAGAUUUCCCAGCACUGGAGGACGGAACCAACCUGCAAGUCAGUCAGAUCCAGUGACUGUCAGUCCACAGGGAAGCAUGAGCUACAAAGCUGGAGUGCUGGGCUCCUGGCCUGUGGCUUUCUCACAUUUCAGCGUGGACAAGCGCCACCUCUAGCCAGAAGUGUGUCAACUAAACCGAACAUGCCCACAGGAUGUCCCCACCAGGGGAGGUAGUGUCCCACACACCCUGCGGUUGCUGUGCCUCCCAGCAGCUGCAGAGAGGGCUCGACAUGGGCAAGCCCGCUGCAAACAGCGCAGGUGACACAGGGAAACCACAACUCCCAAGGGCAGCCCAGCGAGCAGAAGGUCACAGAGAGCUCAGGGGGCCUGUGAAGCUCAGCCAGGGAGGGCCUCAGCGAGGCUGAGAACAGCGUGGGGAGAGGCAGCUCAUUUGAGGCACCCAGGCCUCCUCUCCCACAGCCCAAAGAGCAAAGGAGACUCUGCUCACUCAACUGCAGCCAACUAAAUACAGAGUUCUCAGCCCCCCACAUGCAGUCGUGUAGU